GAUGAACGCUGGCGGCGUGCCUAAUACAUGCAAGUCGAACGCUGAAGGAGGAGCUUGCUCUUCUGGAUGAGUUGCGAACGGGUGAGUAACGCGUAGGUAACCUGCCUGGUAGCGGGGGAUAACUAUUGGAAACGAUAGCUAAUACCGCAUGACAACAGUUAUUGCAUGAUAACUGUUUAAAAGGGGCAACUGCUCCACUACCAGAUGGACCUGCGUUGUAUUAGCUAGUUGGUGAGGUAACGGCUCACCAAGGCGACGAUACAUAGCCGACCUGAGAGGGUGAUCGGCCACACUCGGACUGAGACACGGCCCAGACUCCUACGGGAGGCAGCAGUAGGGAAUCUUCGGCAAUGGACGGAAGUCUGACCGAGCAACGCCGCGUGAGUGAAGAAGGUUUUCGGAUCGUAAAGCUCUGUUGUAAGAGAAGAACGAGUGUGAGAGUGGAAAGUUCACACUGUGACGGUAUCUUACCAGAAAGGGACGGCUAACUACGUG
Molecule: ribosomal RNA, 495 nt
Filed under: uncultured bacterium
Lineage: Bacteria
Description: partial 16S ribosomal RNA
Rfam family: Bacterial small subunit ribosomal RNA
Source: RNAcentral